This 258-nucleotide ribosomal RNA is filed under the name uncultured bacterium. RNAcentral describes it as "partial 16S ribosomal RNA". It matches the Rfam family "Bacterial small subunit ribosomal RNA", at positions 96 to 354 of the family's 1533-position model. The record is from RNAcentral.
UGGCGGACGGGUGAGUAACGCGUGGGUAACCUGCCCUGUACAGGGGGAUAACAGUUGGAAACGGCUGCUAAAACCGCAUAACAUGGAGAUACCGCAUGAUAUUUCCAUCAAAUAUUUAUAGGUACAGGAUGGGCCCGCGUCUGAUUAGCCAGUUGGCAGGGUAAUGGCCUACCAAAGCGACGAUCAGUAGCCGGCUUGAGAGAGUGACCGGCCACAUUGGGACUGAGACACGGCCCAAACUCCUACGGAAGGCAGCAG